This 497-nucleotide ribosomal RNA is filed under the name uncultured bacterium. RNAcentral's name for it is "partial 16S ribosomal RNA". It matches the Rfam family "Bacterial small subunit ribosomal RNA", at positions 28 to 507 of the family's 1533-position model. The record is from RNAcentral.
GAUGAACGCUGGCGGCGUGCCUAAUACAUGCGAGUCGAGCGAACAGACGAGGAGCUUGCUCCUCUGACGUUAGCGGCGGACGGGUGAGUAACACGUGGAUAACCUACCUAUAAGACUGGGAUAACUUCGGGAAACCGGAGCUAAUACCGGAUAAUAUAUUGAACCGCAUGGUUCAAUAGUGAAAGACGGUUUUGCUGUCACUUAUAGAUGGAUCCGCGCCGCAUUAGCUAGUUGGUAAGGUAACGGCUUACCAAGGCAACGAUGCGUAGCCGACCUGAGAGGGUGAUCGGCCACACUGGAACUGAGACACGGUCCAGACUCCUACGGGAGGCAGCAGUAGGGAAUCCUCCGCAAUGGGCGAAAGCCUGACGGAGCAACGCCGCGUGAGUGAUGAAGGUCUUCGGAUCGUAAAACUCUGUUAUUAGGGAAGAACAAAUGUGUAAGUAACUAUGCACGUCUUGACGGUACCUAAUCAGAAAGCCACGGCUAACUACGUG